AAUAGAUACCCCGGUAGUCCACGCCCUAAACGAUGCGAACUGGAUGUUGGGUUCAACUUGGAACCCAGUAUCGAAGCUAACGCGUUAAGUUCGCCGCCUGGGGAGUACGGUCGCAAGACUGAAACUCAAAGGAAUUGACGGGGGCCCGCACAAGCGGUGGAGUAUGUGGUUUAAUUCGAUGCAACGCGAAGAACCUUACCUGGUCUUGACAUCCACGGAACUUUCCAGAGAUGGAUUGGUGCCUUCGGGAACCGUGAGACAGGUGCUGCAUGGCUGUCGUCAGCUCGUGUCGUGAGAUGUUGGGUUAAGUCCCGCAACGAGCGCAACCCUUGUCCUUAGUUGCCAGCACGUAAUGGUGGGAACUCUAAGGAGACCGCCGGUGACAAACCGGAGGAAGGUGGGAUGACGUCAAGUCAUCAUGGCCCUUACGACCAGGGCUACACACGUACUACAAUGGUGGGGACAGAGGGCUGCAAUCCCGCGAGGGUGAGCCAAUCCCAGAAACCCCAUCUCAGUCCGGAUCGGAGUCUGCAACUCG
This 538-nucleotide ribosomal RNA is filed under the name uncultured bacterium. RNAcentral describes it as "bacterial SSU rRNA". It matches the Rfam family "Bacterial small subunit ribosomal RNA", at positions 777 to 1314 of the family's 1533-position model. The record is from RNAcentral.